RNAcentral lists this ribosomal RNA (324 nucleotides) under uncultured eukaryote. RNAcentral describes it as "partial 18S ribosomal RNA". It matches the Rfam family "Eukaryotic small subunit ribosomal RNA", at positions 1470 to 1796 of the family's 1831-position model. The record is from RNAcentral.
CCCUUAGAUGUUCUGGGCUGCACGCGCGCUACACUGAUGCGAUCAACAAGUUUUUCUUAUGUCGAUAGACACGGGUAAUCUUUUGAACUCGCAUCGUGAUGGGGAUAGAUUAUUGUAAUUAUUAAUCUUCAACGAGGAAUUCCUAGUAGGUGCAAAUCAUCAGUUUGCAUCGAUUACGUCCCUGCCCUUUGUACACACCGCCCGUCGCUGCUACCGAUUGGUUGAUCUGGUGAAUUAUUCGGACUGCCGGCUGAAGGGGUUUCCUCAUCUGCCAGCGGAAAGUCUUGUUAACCCUAUCAACUAGAGGAAGCAGAAGUCGUAACA